This 465-nucleotide ribosomal RNA is filed under the name Vreelandella stevensii. Its description in RNAcentral is "partial 16S ribosomal RNA". It matches the Rfam family "Bacterial small subunit ribosomal RNA", at positions 338 to 795 of the family's 1533-position model. The record is from RNAcentral. Lineage: Bacteria; Pseudomonadati; Pseudomonadota; Gammaproteobacteria; Oceanospirillales; Halomonadaceae.
CCUACGGGAGGCAGCAGUGGGGAAUAUUGGACAAUGGGGGGAACCCUGAUCCAGCCAUGCCGCGUGUGUGAAGAAGGCCCUCGGGUUGUAAAGCACUUUCAGUGAGGAAGAACGCCUGGUGGUUAAUACCCAUCAGGAAAGACAUCACCCACAGAAGAAGCACCGGCUAACUCCGUGCCAGCAGCCGCGGUAAUACGGAGGGUGCGAGCGUUAAUCGGAAUUACUGGGCGUAAAGCGCGCGUAGGUGGCUUGAUAAGCCGGUUGUGAAAGCCCCGGGCUCAACCUGGGAACGGCAUUCGGAACUGUCAAGCUAGAGUGCAGGAGAGGAAGGUAGAAUUCCAGGUGUAGCGGUGAAAUGCGUAGAGAUCGGGAGGAAUACCAGUGGCGAAGGCGGCCUUCUGGACUGACACUGACACUGAGGUGCGAAAGCGUGGGUAGCAAACAGGAUUAGAUACCCUGGUAGUC